Wyeomyia smithii (pitcher-plant mosquito) is the source of this 1423-nucleotide long non-coding RNA. RefSeq lists it as uncharacterized. The record is from RefSeq and is a predicted model, not a curated record. The transcript has 3 exons. Lineage: Eukaryota; Metazoa; Arthropoda; Insecta; Diptera; Culicidae.
UCUCGCAGAUCGUCACGCGUCGAACACACUGCCCCAGUUUUGGCUCCGGUUCGGUCCCGGGAAGUGUCAGUUCUCUGCCAGCGUUAUCAGCCUACCCCGCCCUCUACCCUCGCCCAAUCAUCCACCAGCAGAGGGUUGGAGUUGGCAAUCGGAGUGUGUGCACGGGAGCUGUUUCCACUCCCUACUCGACAGGGGGAGGUUUGCGUUUUAGUGCGGCGAAAAGCACAGGCUAACGGCCUAUUUGAAGUGGUUCAAGUUUCGUUCUUCAAGCCAAAGGUGGGAAGCAGUUAAGUGAGAUCGUAAUUACUGUAUGUUAGAAUAAAAAGUGAAAAGGCGUGCUCUACCAAGGAUCUACCGUGGAAAUUGUGCGUUACGAUUUUCGAGACACGAGCUCUCAUUGCGCAAUCUUUUAUUCAUGGAAUGUUUAAUUAGAUUCAAGUGGAUCGAUUCCGUGUAAAAAGUUCAAAGUCUAGGCAAAUUCGAAUUCAAAUUCCUGUGGGAGAAUAUUUGUGGCACUUUGCUACCGAUCCCGGUACAACUUUUGGAUUACACUGGCCAACACGUUUGCCGAGUUUUAAUCCACACGUCGAUUUCAACCCCUUCCCGAAUUACUGCGUUUGAGUUUUAUAUAAGUGAAGCACACCUUGUUGCAUGUCGGAAUUCGCGUGUGCUUGUGGUUCGUGUCUAUUUGUGCCUGCCAGAUUGUGUUCUAUUAGGCAGCUAAUUUAGUGGAUGGAGAGAAAAACAACGGAUGCUGGAAGUGCAAGUAACAGCAGCCAAGUUGGAUUACAUGUGAAAUUGUUGCUCGAAAUUGCUGAAUUGGAGAAAAAUCUGAUACACAGCGUGGCGUAGCUCGGGGCGGUUAGUUUUUCCGUUUCAGGAUUGAGAGAACUUCACCGGAUAGAAUCAUCCCCUUUCCGACUUCAUAAGCUCGUACGCAAUUAAAUGUGAUACAGGAUGUGUGCUAUGCGUACCAUCAUUAAAGUGAUGUAACGGUGAAAAACUGCCCAACUGCUGCUUAAAAAGAGGAUCUAAUCUCCAUUUUCCCGAUUGAAUUUCGGUCCACUGAUCCCAGCUAGCACGGCACGGCACGGAAAGACUGAUUGAAUUUGAACCCGAGCUGUACAGGUGAAUUAGAGUGACGCGAUUGGAGGCAGCAGCGCAUCGAGAAGCGAAAGCAUGGAAAAAGCGGGUCCACUGCGAUAAGUCUCCCGUAGUGUGUUUGUUUGUGUGUCUGUGUGUGGAAAGGAAAAGAAAAUUAAAUUGAAGGUGAAAUUUGGAUGGGAUUAAGUGGAGAGUAACAGGAAAGCUUCUCUAGCGAGGGGUGGUAAAGUGAUAUAAUUAAAUGGAUUUUGAGCAAGAUUAAUUAGUGCAGUUGACACGAUAACCGGGGGCGCUGCGAGCAAAGAAAUCCUCGUCAAAG